RNAcentral lists this small RNA (540 nucleotides) under Pan troglodytes (chimpanzee). Its description in RNAcentral is "processed transcript". The record is from RNAcentral. Lineage: Eukaryota; Metazoa; Chordata; Mammalia; Primates; Hominidae.
AGUCAUCUGGCAGAAGUCAUUCAAGCCCGACAUUCUUUUGGCCACACCGUGCUGCCUUAGAUGAGCUUUUCUGUAGUAGUCUCCAUCCUAGUUAGUGUUUUAAAAUGGGAAUGAAAUGGCACUUUGAUAACAAAUUUUAGUGGAAUAGUCUGAGAGAAACCAGCAGCUUCGUAUAAAAUGAUCUCAUUCACAGGGGAGGCGCCACCUGCUGCAGAAGUUUCCUCAUCUUUUGUGAUCCUGUGUGUGUGCAGUUUAAUAAUAUUAAUAGUGUUAAUUGCAAACUGUGUAUCCUGCUGUAAGGACCCAGAAAUAGACUUUAAGGAAUUUGAAGAUAAUUUUGAUGAUGAGAUAGAUUUCACACCACCAGCAGAAGAUACUCCCUCUGUUCAGUCCCCAGCAGAGGUCUUCACACUUUCAGUACCAAAUAUUUCACUCCCAGCUCCCUCGCAAUUCCAGCCUUCUGUAGAGGGAUUGAAGUCUCAAGUUGCCCGCCACAGUCUAAACUACAUACAGGAAAUUGGAAAUGGCUGGUUUGGAAAG